RNAcentral lists this ribosomal RNA (252 nucleotides) under uncultured bacterium. RNAcentral's name for it is "partial 16S ribosomal RNA". It matches the Rfam family "Bacterial small subunit ribosomal RNA", at positions 524 to 776 of the family's 1533-position model. The record is from RNAcentral.
UACGUAGGGUGCGAGCGUUGUCCGGAAUUACUGGGCGUAAAGAGCUCGUAGGCGGUUUGUCGCGUCGUCCGUGAAAACUUGGGGCUCAACCCCAAGCUUGCGGGCGAUACGGGCAGACUUGAGUACUGCAGGGGAGGACUGGAAUUCCUGGUGUAGCGGUGGAAUGCGCAGAUAUCAGGAGGAACACCGAUGGCGAAGGCAGAUCUCUGGCCGUAACUGACGCUGAGGAGCGAAAGCGUGGGAGCGAACAGG